UGGGCAGUAUCAUUAGAACUGCACCUCUUCAUAGGAAUCAUUUAAAUACUGCCUGUAUCCAUCGCGGACCGGGACAGAGGG
This is a non-coding RNA of Desulfosporosinus lacus DSM 15449, 81 nucleotides long. The record is from Rfam. Lineage: Bacteria; Bacillati; Bacillota; Clostridia; Eubacteriales; Desulfitobacteriaceae.